UACAGAGGGUGCGAGCGUUGUCCGGAAUCACUGGGCGUAAAGGGCGCGUAGGUGGUGGCUUAAGCGUGCGGUGAAAGCUCGGGGCUCAACUCCGAGUCGGCCGUGCGAACUGGGCUCACUGGAGCAUAGUAGAGGCAGGUGGAAUUCCGGGUGUAGCGGUGGAAUGCGCAGAUAUCAGGAGGAACACCAAUGGCGAAGGCAGCACUCUGGGACGUGACUGACGCUGAGACGCGAAAGCGUGGGGAGCAAACAGG
Molecule: ribosomal RNA, 254 nt
Filed under: uncultured bacterium
Lineage: Bacteria
Description: partial 16S ribosomal RNA
Rfam family: Bacterial small subunit ribosomal RNA
Source: RNAcentral